Molecule: transfer RNA, 80 nt
Filed under: Metarhizium acridum CQMa 102
Lineage: Eukaryota; Fungi; Ascomycota; Sordariomycetes; Hypocreales; Clavicipitaceae
Description: tRNA-Leu (TAA) (tRNA-Leu-TAA-2-1)
Source: RNAcentral
GCCCUUAUAGCGUAGUGGUUAAGCGCUAUAGAGCCCUAUCUUAGUCUAGCAGGGAGCUGGUUUAAACCCGGCUAAAGACA